Molecule: ribosomal RNA, 301 nt
Filed under: uncultured bacterium
Lineage: Bacteria
Description: partial 16S ribosomal RNA
Rfam family: Bacterial small subunit ribosomal RNA
Source: RNAcentral
CAGCCGCCGCGGUAAUGCGUAGGGUGCGAGCGUUAAUCGGAAUUACUGGGCGUAAAGCGUGCGCAGGCGGUUGUGUAAGACAGGUGUGAAAUCCCCGGGCUUAACCUGGGAACUGCGCUUGUGACUGCACAGCUAGAGUAUGGCAGAGGGGGGUGGAAUUCCACGUGUAGCAGUGAAAUGCGUAGAGAUGUGGAGGAACACCGAUGGCGAAGGCAGCCCCCUGGGCCAAUACUGACGCUCAUGCACGAAAGCGUGGGGAGCAAACGGGAUUAGAGACCCGCGUAGUCCCUGUCUCUUAUAC